RNAcentral lists this ribosomal RNA (235 nucleotides) under uncultured bacterium. Its description in RNAcentral is "partial 16S ribosomal RNA". It matches the Rfam family "Bacterial small subunit ribosomal RNA", at positions 1266 to 1500 of the family's 1533-position model. The record is from RNAcentral.
AGCAAACCACAGAAACGGCGUCCCAGUUCGGAUUGCAGCCUGCAACUCGGCUGCAUGAAGCUGGAAUCGCUAGUAAUCGCGGAUCAGAAUGCCGCGGUGAAUACGUUCCCGGGUCUUGUACACACCGCCCGUCACACCAUGGGAGUCGGGAAUGCCCGAAGUCAGUGACCCAACCGAAAGGGGGGAGCUGCCGAAGGCAGGCCUGGUAACUGGGGUGAAGUCGUAACAAGGUAUC